CCUAUAAAUUAAACCACUCCGACGAUUUGAAGCUUUAAACCAAAAACUAAACAUUCGAUUAACGGCGAAACCAGAGUGUGUAUCUGUGUUGCUCCUCCGAACUCCCCCUCAGAGGAAGGAUAUAUCGAUAUAGAGACAGUGUGUAAUGGCGGCGGGUAGGGUGCCGCAUCCGCCACUGAAAGGGCCGAACCUGGUGAAGGAGAUAGCAAUGGGAAUUGCGGUGGCGAUGGUGGCGGCGAUGCCGUGGAAAAUGUACCAAUGGGAUUUGCAGAAGAGGACCAGGACUAUGUAUGAGUUGCUCGACAAAGGUGAAGCAACUGUUGUUGCUCAAGAAUAAUAUGUAUAUCCUCCAUCCUUCAAAAAAAUAAAUGAAUAACAAGAAGCUAGGUUUUUGACAAAUUCC
Molecule: long non-coding RNA, 403 nt
Organism: Malus domestica (apple)
Lineage: Eukaryota; Viridiplantae; Streptophyta; Magnoliopsida; Rosales; Rosaceae
Source: RefSeq, a predicted model, not a curated record